RNAcentral lists this transfer RNA (67 nucleotides) under Fowleria isostigma. RNAcentral's name for it is "tRNA-Ser". The record is from RNAcentral. Lineage: Eukaryota; Metazoa; Chordata; Actinopteri; Kurtiformes; Apogonidae.
GAGAGGGGCUUGCAGCACCAAAGUCUGCUAAACUUCUGUCCCUCGGUUGGAUUCCGGGGCCCACUCA